UACGGAAGGCAGCAGUGGGGAAUAUUGCACAAUGGGCGAAAGCCUGAUGCAGCUAUGCCGCGUGUAUGAAGAAGGCCUUAGGGUUGUAAAGUACUUUCAUCGGGGAGGAAAAACAAAACUAAUAAUUUUAUUUCUUGACGUUACCCGAAAAAGAAGCACCGGCUAACUCCGUGCCAGCAGCCGCGGUAAUACGGAGGGUGCUAGCGUUAAUCAGAAUUACUGGGCGUAAAGAGCACGUAGGUGGUUUUUUUAAGUCAGAUGUGAAAUCCCUGGGCUUAACCUAGGAACUGCAUUUUGAAACUGAAAUACUAGAGUAUCGUAGAGGGAGGUAGAAUUCUAGGUGUAGCGGUGAAAUGCGUAGAUAUCUGGAGGAAUACCUGUGGCGAAAGCGGCCUCCUAAACGAAUACUGACACUGAGGUGCGAAAGCGUGGGGAGCAAACAGGGAUUAAUACC
Molecule: ribosomal RNA, 454 nt
Filed under: uncultured bacterium
Lineage: Bacteria
Description: bacterial SSU rRNA
Rfam family: Bacterial small subunit ribosomal RNA
Source: RNAcentral